GUAAACAUAAACCAAGAACGAGUUAUAUGAACUACUAUUAUCAAAGCACAAGUCAUUGUUCAUUAAACUAAUGUAUGGAGAAAACCGUACGUACAAAUGAACCCGUAGAAGCAACCAUAUUCGAAUUCAGCAAUAAGACCGCAGUGUGCCUUCUCCUCUCUUCAGUAAUCAAAGCUCUUAACUAAUAAUAGGUCUUAGUCCUGAUAAUAAAGUGUACAAACUGCGAGAGCAGAGACCACUAUAUAUACAACAUAAUCCUAGCCAAAUUCUAUAAGGAUUUCCCUAUUAAAAUCCAUAUAGAAAACUGAUUCCAAUCCAACAUUGGUUUAGUAUCUCUGUUCCUUAAGCAUUCCAGAACAAUAUGGAUUACAAAUCCAUUCCCAAUGAGACUUCCUAUUAAAUCUUGAAUUCAAAAACUAAAUACAGACUCAUACCAAUGCUCAUAUUCUUACAUCUAGUUCUUGUCAUGCAAUGUUCUGAGUGAGCGAGAACCCAUUGUAAAGAGAGAAUAUGCGUUAUAACUUCGUUAUAUCUCGUUUGUG
This 542-nucleotide long non-coding RNA is filed under the name Malus domestica (apple). Its description in RNAcentral is "long non-coding RNA (MDOM_LNC004980)". The record is from RNAcentral. Lineage: Eukaryota; Viridiplantae; Streptophyta; Magnoliopsida; Rosales; Rosaceae.